UGGCCUGGCAGGGUUCCUGGGUGGAGCUGACUGGUUGCAGGAGGAGGGACAUUCAACAGCCAUCCUGACACCACAGCCCAGGGCUUGGCUCCUUGCUUCUGUCUCCAGCAGCCAGACAAGCACCAUGAAAAGGCUGCUGUGCUCUCUGCUGGGGCUGCUGUGCACCCAGGUUUGCUGGGUGAAAGGUCAACAAGUGGAGCAGAGUCCUGUGUCCUUGGUUCUGCAGGAGGGGGAGCGUGCAGAGCUGCAGUGCAACUUUUCCACCACUUUAUACCAAAUGCAGUGGUUUCACCAAAGUCCUGGGGGACGCCUCAUCAGCCUGCUUUCCAAUCCUUCUGGAACAAAGCAGAGUGGAAGACUGACGUCUACAACAGUAGUUAACGAAUAUCGAAGUUCUCUGUACAUUUCUUCCUCUCAGACCACAGACUCUGGCACUUAUUUCUGUGCUAGGGAUCCACAGUGCUCCCCACACACCUGCAGCCAGUACACAAACCUUCAGCUGAGUGGACUUGCAACCUCAGGAGUGAGCCAAGGUGAGCAGGUGGAGCAGCAUCCUUCCACCCUGAGAGUCCAGGAGGGAGCCAGCGCGGUCAUCAACUGCACUUAUGUAGACAGUACCUCAGACUACUUCUCUUUGUAUAAGCAAGGACCUGGAGAGCAUCCUCAGCUUGCCAUUGACAUUCGUUCAACUGUGGAAAGAAAGCAGGAGUAA
Molecule: non-coding RNA, 712 nt
Organism: Peromyscus leucopus (white-footed mouse)
Lineage: Eukaryota; Metazoa; Chordata; Mammalia; Rodentia; Cricetidae
Source: the annotation of a RefSeq genome assembly